AUUUAGCAGUGAUCCGUCACACCUCAGAGCCCACACAGAGGCAGUAUGUUUAUCAGCACUUGUGGCUAAGUGUCCGUGCUCUCUCUCUGUAGGUACCACAGGAACAGGCUGGCACCACAGAUGGGGCACCUGCGUGAUUUUCAGGUUCAUUUCCUUUUGAGUACAGGACGUGGACAUCGGAGUGGUCACUUGUCAUCUGCCCCCAGCUCUUCAUGCACAGGCACCUGACAGCAAGCUAAGGCUUCUUGCUCUUCUCCUAUUCUCCUUUGGGAAAAAUCUUCCAGCCCAAACCAUGCAUGCAGCGUGAAAAGAAGAAGUAAGAGAAAGCUAUGACAAUUUUGUUGGUGUUGGGCUUCUGAAACGGCUCUACGUGGUGAUGUUGAAUCUGAAGUUCAUCCCUUUCCGCAAGUCUUUCCUCUGGUUUGUUUUAUUCUGCUUCCUCACUCUUCUCAGAGC
Molecule: long non-coding RNA, 456 nt
Filed under: Gallus gallus (chicken)
Lineage: Eukaryota; Metazoa; Chordata; Aves; Galliformes; Phasianidae
Description: long non-coding RNA NONGGAT001137
Source: RNAcentral